This is a long non-coding RNA of Tripterygium wilfordii, 946 nucleotides long. RefSeq lists it as uncharacterized. The transcript is spliced from 2 exons. The record is from RefSeq and is a predicted model, not a curated record. NCBI's taxonomy places the organism in Eukaryota, Viridiplantae, Streptophyta, Magnoliopsida, Celastrales, Celastraceae.
CUGCUCACAUAUUUUCGACUACCACUGCCGCCAGAGUUUGCGUCUGUGUGUGGUAAGAUUUAGUUCGUCUUCUUUCUAAAUUCUUUGUAAUUACACGCCUGCACAAGCCUCCCGGGCUUCUCCGAUUGCUUGAAUGAAGAAGAAAGCCCCAAUGCUCGUGCUAUAGAGCCUGCCGUUUAGUGUUGCAGUUUGGCCUCUAUUUUUCAACGGCUGAUCUGUGUCAAAUAAACGGCCAAAUCCUUUUUUCUACACAUGUUCAUGUUCAUGUGUAAUGUAUAUGUGUAUUUGUAUAUGAUUUGUGUGUUUGUGCCUCUCAACACCUUUAGCUUGUUUUCAAUAGAAGUAAUACUCUGGAAACAAGGCUAGUCAUAGAUGCAAACAGAGAAUCGCGGCGUCAACGUGGGGACUUGCCAAUGAUGAUCCAGUCCGCAUUGUUUGAGGUGUGGUGGAGCCAAGACCCUGAUUUUUCAGGGAGAACCUACUUGGUGGAAGCUAUAAUUCACUGAUGUUAAUGGAUUUAACUGAGGCAUUGCUGAAUUAUAUUUGACAAGGUUUAGUUCAAAUUUUGUGAAUGUUUGGUAUAUUCAUCCAUGUAAAUUUAUCUCUCUCAAUAUGUUGUGGAGUGAAAUUAGAUUUCUGAUGUCAAUGAGUACCGUGCUAGUUCAAUUGUUUGAUUUAAGCGUUUUAUGUGUCAUGCUGAACUGUAGUUGUCUGUCAAAGUAUGAAGUUGAUCAUAUGUCUGAAAAACUCGGAUAUUGUGUGAUGCCAUCAACUUCUCAACUUCUCUUUUGUAUAGCUACUGAGUUUAGAGUUAAACUAUGGAACCACAUUCAAUUAUGUGAAGGUCUUAUGGUAAAUGUAAUCCUAGAGAUGCUUGUGCAAUCUCAGAUAUUGUACAUAUGCUUCCUUCCCUAGAUUCUAUCAAAUCCAGUUCAAUUAAGGUUAA